Molecule: non-coding RNA, 2049 nt
Organism: Durio zibethinus
Lineage: Eukaryota; Viridiplantae; Streptophyta; Magnoliopsida; Malvales; Malvaceae
Source: RefSeq, a predicted model, not a curated record
UUAAUUAAAGAGAGAGGGUAAAGAAUCCCUACGUACAGUCGUACGCUUUUAACUUUAGUGACCUCUCUGCCCUAUUCAGAAUCUUGUUCUUCAUCAAUGUUAAUCUUCCUUUUGUGUGACAAUCUCAUUCCUCUUUUAAAGCUCUGGUGUUUCCCACUAUCUUUUUUUCGUGUCGAAUUUUGGAUUGUAGAAGCAAAGAAAGAUGGAUCAAAUUCAUCAUUUUCUCCAUAGGCAUCACUUGAUGCUCACUGGGGAGGAGGAGGUCAAGGAUGGAGUUGUCUGUUCGGGAUGUCACAAAGGUUUACCUGGUCCGAUCUAUGGAUGCAGUGAUUGCAAGUUUUACCUUCAUAAAUCCUGCGCCGAUCUUCCACAAGAGAUCCAAAAUUUCUUUCACCCAUGCCCUCUUUUCCUCACAAUUAGAUCCUAUUCCUAUAAAUGCAAUGCUUGUUUCGAAGACGGCUCUGGUUUCAGCUAUCGAUGUACAAGGUGUGAUUUCGAUAUGCAUGUUAAAUGCGCCCAACGGCCCACCAUAAAAUCGGAAGGGGAAGAGCUUAUUCAUCAUUUCACUCACUGGCAUCCAUUAACACUUGUUGAACAGAAGAAAGAUAUAGAAGUUCUGUGCCGUAUAUGUGAGAAGCUCUGCUCCGGCAGCUCUAAUUAUUCUGCCUAUGGUUGUGAGAAAUGCAACUUUUUCCUCCAUAAUUCAUGCAUGAUCAACAUUCCACGACAGAUCAGUCAUUUCUUCCACCCAUCAUGCCCUCUCAUUCUGCUCACAUAUGGACGUUACAGGUGUAGAGGUUGUGCUGAAGAGAGCUCAGGCUUGGCCUUUAGCUGCGGAAAGUGUGAUUUCCAACUAGAUGUCAAAUGCGCCUUACUUCCCACUGUAGAGUCCAAAGGUGCCAAUAAGAUUCAACAUUUUGCCCACCAGCAUCCACUAGCACUCCGUGAAAACAUGGAAUUUGGCAGUGAAGUUUGGUGCAGAGCAUGUGGAGACAAUUGCUUAGGUCCCUGUUUUGGUUGUGGAAGAUGCUUCUUCUUUUUGCACACAUCAUGUGCUUCUGAGAUUCCACAAGAAAUUCAUUAUCCCUUUCAUCCGCUACACCCUCUCUACCUGUCGCCCCUCCUUCCGGAUCCUGCUCAUCCUACUUUUUGGUGUCCUGCAUGCUGCGGAAGGCAUGACAGGUUUCUGCUGGUCUACCGCUGUGCCAAGUGUGACUUUAACCUUCAUAUCAAUUGUUCUAAGCCUAAGCUCUCACCUUUCUUGUUAAAGUAUGAAGGUCACUCACACUUACUCAAUUUUUUUGACAAAACACGUAACCAUCUCAAUGCCGCAUUUGUUAUCAGAGGGCCCAAAACUGCUACUUUCGAUGUGUGGCGUGUAAAUUCAAUAUGCAUCUCUACUGCCACCCUUCAGCCCCAAAAACAAUAAAACACAAAUGCCAUUUACAUCCAUUAACUCUUACAAGAUCUCCUUUGGAAUUUGAAUUGAAUACACAGAAGAUAAAUAUAACUGGAUGAUGAAUUUUAUUGUGAUGUUUGUGAGGAAAAAAGAUACAAAAUUGAAUCAGUUUAUUAUUGUGAAGAAUGCAAAUUUAUUGUUGAGGUUCGCUGUUGAAUGUCCGAGCUAUUACCACCCUUAACUAUUUCAGAGGUCCAGAGUACCGGCAGAGCCAUUUCCAAGGAUGAGGAGAAUUCUACAAUAGAUGCCACCAUUGCAAGGAUAGAUAAUAAGAUUGCAGGGCUUAUGGCAGAGAAAAGCCUUUGAAAGUAGAAAUUAAGUAUCAUCGAGCAAUGUUACAGCAGCUUGAGGCGAAACUAGAACCAAUAACACGGGAACUAAAACAACUUAAGGUAGAUCGUUUCCUGCGCACUUAUCAGCUACAUCACUACGAGAAAGAGAAUAAGCAUCCAACUGAAGCUUCAACUUCGGAAGGGCUGGCUGCCGGUCUGUCUUGAGUCUGCCGUGACAUAUGUAUCAAGUUUCUGGUAAAGGCUGGCAAGGGUGAUUGAGCAUACCACGAAUAUAUAUAUAUAUAUAUAUAUAUAUAU